AGUCAUAUGCUUGUCUCAAAGAUUAAGCCAUGCAUGUCUCAGUACAAGCCAAAUUAAGGUGAAACCGCGAAAGGCUCAUUAAAUCAGUUAUGGUUCCUUAGAUCGUACCCACAUUUACUUGGAUAACUGUGGUAAUUCUAGAGCUAAUACAUGCAAACAGAGCUCCGACCGGAGACGGAAGGAGCGCUUUUAUUAGAUCAAAACCAAUCGGUGGCGGGUCCGCCCGUCAUCGUACAUUUUGGUGACUCUGAAUAACUUAUUGCUGAUCGCACGGUCUAGCACCGGCGACGCAUCUUUCAAAUGUCUGCCUUAUCAACUGUCGAUGGUAGGUUCUGCGCCUACCAUGGUUGUAACGGGUAACGGGGAAUCAGGGUUCGAUUCCGGAGAGGGAGCCUGAGAAACGGCUACCACAUCCAAGGAAGGCAGCAGGCGCGCAAAUUACCCACUCCCGGCACGGGGAGGUAGUGACGAAAAAUAACGAUACGGGACUCAUCCGAGGCCCCGUAAUCGGAAUGAGUACACUCUAAACCCUUUAACGAGGAUCAAUUGGAGGGCAAGUCUGGUGCCAGCAGCCGCGGUAAUUCCAGCUCCAAUAGCGUAU
RNAcentral lists this ribosomal RNA (601 nucleotides) under Hydrochus stolpi. Its description in RNAcentral is "SSU rRNA". It matches the Rfam family "Eukaryotic small subunit ribosomal RNA", at positions 22 to 602 of the family's 1831-position model. The record is from RNAcentral. Lineage: Eukaryota; Metazoa; Arthropoda; Insecta; Coleoptera; Hydrochidae.